GAUGAACGCUGGCGGCGUGCCUAAUACAUGCAGGUCGAGCGAACAGACGAGGAGCUUGCUCCUCUGACGUUAGCGGCGGACGGGUGAGUAACACGUGGAUAACCUACCUAUAAGACUGGGAUAACUUCGGGAAACCGGAGCUAAUACCGGAUAAUAUAUUGAACCGCAUGGUUCAAUAGUGAAAGACGGUUUUGCUGUCACUUAUAGAUGGAUCCGCGCCGCAUUGGCUAGUUGGUAAGGUAACGGCUUACCAAGGCAACGAUGCGUAGCCGACCUGAGAGGGUGACCGGCAAAACGGGAACUGAGAACCGGUCCAGACUCCUACGGAAGGAAGCAGUAGGAAAUCUUCCGCAAUGGGCGAAAGCCUGACGGAGCAAAGCCGCGUGAGUGAUGAAGGUCUCGGGUUCGUAAACCUCUGUUAUUAGGGAAGAACAAAUGUGUAAGUAACUAUGCACUUCUGGAGGUUCCCUAAGCAGAAAGCCACGCCUACCUCGUU
Molecule: ribosomal RNA, 496 nt
Filed under: uncultured bacterium
Lineage: Bacteria
Description: partial 16S ribosomal RNA
Rfam family: Bacterial small subunit ribosomal RNA
Source: RNAcentral